Non-coding RNA from Dermacentor albipictus, 715 nucleotides. The record is from RefSeq and is a predicted model, not a curated record. NCBI's taxonomy places the organism in Eukaryota, Metazoa, Arthropoda, Arachnida, Ixodida, Ixodidae.
AUUGACGCUGUUGUUCCUAUCAUUGCUCAUCGUAUUCGCGGCGCUCUUCAGGCGUCCUAACUGGGUGGCUUACUUUGGGCAGGAACCACUGCAUCCUGCCUUGCCUGAGCACGACGCCGUUGUUCAUAUUGAUGUUGCUGUUCCCGUCACCGCUCAUCGUGUUCACGCUGCUCUUCGAAAAGCUGGGCGGCUGAUGCACGCAGAGGUGCUUGUAGGACAUGACACGAGAUCUACGCUGCUGUCAUCAAGGGAGCGGUUGAAAUCGAGAAUAUUCUUUAAGGGCAAGGCGGGCACUGGGUCAGCACCCGGGUGAGCUGGCCUCUUUACAACCGCCCGCAUAGGUUUCUUGCAACCUUGCCGGCAAAUGACCUCAGCCUCGUCAAAGAGAGCUUGCGGGUGACAUUGUGACCAAAGCCGAGGAUGGGGCUCAAGUGGUAGCCUCUUAGGAGUAUGCACGAGCUAACACACACCCUAUGUGCUGCUCCGCAAGAUUAUUCGGAAGCCUUGCCGGCGACAUCUUAAGCCACCCCAGAACAAGGAACAGACGGCAGUGCCCACAGGAAGCGGCCACAUGCAUCUGCUAUUGACAGAGUGGCUCAACUCUUUGAAGUUGAAUCUAAACAAGCCAAUAAAAUAGCUAAGGAGCUAAGGCUUGCGAAGAAAGCACAGCUGCAGGAAGAGUCUAAUGAUCUUCAGAGAAACCUCGUUUCUAUUC